GUCCAGAUCUUUCACCUAUAGAGAACAUACAGUAAUUACCUGUGACACCCAUGGUGCACUGUGAGCAGGUAUACAGGCCAACAGAGCAUGCAGAUAAUUAUCUGUGACACCCAUGGUGCACUGUGAGCAGGUAUACAGGCCAACAGAGCAUGCAGAUAAUUAUCUGUGACACUCAUUGUACACUGUGAGCAGGUAUACAGGCCCACAGAGCAUGCAGAUAAUUAUCUGUGACACCCAUGGUGCACUGUGAGCAGGUAUACAGGCCAACAGAGCAUGCAGAUAAUUAUCUGUGACACCCAUGGUGCACUGUGAGCAGGUAUACAGGCCAACAGAGCAUGCAGAUAAUUAUCUGCGACACCCAUUGUACACUGUGAGCAGGUAUACAGGCCCACAGAGCAUGCAGAUAAUUAUCUGUGACACCCAUGGUGCACUGUGAGCAGGUAUACAGGCCCACAGAGCAUGCAGAUAAUUACCUGUGACACCCAUUGUACACUGUGAGCAGGUAUACAGGCCCACAGAGCAUGCAGAUAAUUACCUGUGACACCCAUUGUACACUGUGAGCAGGUAUACAGGCCAACAGAGCAUGCAGAUAAUUAUCUGCGACACCCAUUGUACACUGUGAGCAGGUAUACAGGCCAACAGAGAAUGCAGAUAAUUAUCUGUGACACCCAUGGUGCACUGUGUGCAGGUAUACAGGCCAACAGAGCAUGCAGAUAAUUACCUGUGACACCCAUUGUACACUGUGAGCAGGUAUACAGGCCAACAGAGCAUGCAGAUAAUUAUCUGUGACACCCAUUGUACACUGUGAGCAGGUAUACAGGCCAACAGAGCAUGCAGAUAAUUAUCUGUGACACCCAUGGUGCACUGUGAGCAGGUAUACAGGCCAACAGAGCAUGCAGAUAAUUAUCUGUGACACCCAUGGUGCACUGUGAGCAGGUAUACAGGCCAACAGAGCAUGCAGAUAAUUACCUGUGACACCCAUUGUACACUGUGAGCAGGUAUACAGGCCAACAGAGCAUGCAGAUAAUUAUCUGUGACACCCAUUGUCCACUGUGAGCAGGUAUACAGGCCAACAGAGCAUGCAGAUAAUUAUCUGUGACACCCAUUGUACACUGUGAGCAGGUAUACAGGCCAACAGAGCAUGCAGAUAAUUACCUGUGACACCCAUUGUACACUGUGAGCAGGUAUACAGGCCCACAGAGCAUGCAGAUAAUUAUCUGUGACACCCAUUGUACACUGUGAGCAGGUAUACAGGCCCACAGAGCAUGCAGAUAAUUAUCUGUGACACCCAUUGUACACUGUGAGCAGGUAUACAGGCCAACAGAGCAUGCAGAUAAUUAUCUGUGACACCCAUUGUACACUGUGAGCAGGUAUACAGGCCAACAGAGCAUGCAGAUAAUUACCUGUGACACCCAUUGUACACUGUGAGCAGGUAUACAGGCCAACAGAGCAUGCAGAUAAUUAUCUGUGACACCCAUUGUACACUGUGAGCAGGUAUACAGGCCCACAGAGCAUGCAGAUAAUUAUCUGUGACACCCAUUGUACACUGUGAGCAGGUAUACAGGCCAACAGAGCAUGCAGAUAAUUAUCUGUGACACCCAUUGUACACUGUGAGCAGGUAUACAGGCCAACAGAGCAUGCAGAUAAUUAUCUGUGACACCCAUUGUACACUGUGAGCAGGUAUACAGGCCCACAGAGCAUGCAGAUAAUUAUCUGUGACACCCAUGGUGCACUGUGAGCAGGUAUACAGGCCAACAGAGCAUGCAGAUAAUUAUCUGUGACACCCAUGGUGCACUGUGAGCAGGUAUACAGGCCCACAGAGCAUGCAGAUAAUUAUCUGUGACACCCCUUGUACACUGUGAGCAGGUAUACAGGCCAACAGAGCAUGCAGAUAAUUAUCUGUGACACCCAUUGUACACUGUGAGCAGGUAUACAGGCCAACAGAGCAUGCAGAUAAUUAUCUGUGACACCCAUUGUACACUGUGAGCAGGUAUACAGGCCCACAGAGCAUGCAGAUAAUUAUCUGUGACACCCAUUGUACACUGUGAGCAGGUAUCAGUACUGACUACUUUUUAUAUUGAGUCACAUGUUUUAUGUGAAUUACUUUGUACUGAACUGAAGGCCAGUAUUUGUCACUGCGAAUAUGUUGUUGCAGACGUCCAUCCAGAAAUCAGAGCUGGGGGAAAAGAUAAGGUCCUUAUUCCAAUAAAUUUUUGGUACAAAUAUCAAUGUGUCUGUCGCAGAUGGAGGAUUAUAUAUUCUAGAGGUUUCUUUUUAUUUUUAAGUUGCAGAAUGUUGUCUCAUCUGAGGAGGAUUCAGUGUAUUAUGUGUGAGGUCCAUUUUGGUUUUGAUGCUGGAUUCAGUUAGUAAAUAUUAGAAAAAUUGCAUAUUCUCAACUCGUAUUUAUGGAUUAAGUCUUCGAAUGUCAUGAAAUGACUGUUACUGAAAAGGAGGUGGAGAUGUGUAAUCCCUUUCUGUCCCCGUGAGUGAUAGUGAAUAGUGAUAUUGUGAAGUAGGAAGUCCAGAUUAUUCCAGAUUGGCGUGUAUUUACAGGGUCUGAGAGUACAGUUAGUGAUUUUAAUGGCUUUCCACUGGGCUGUCAGUGCUGUGGAAAUGGCAGCACUGUGUUGUUAAAGCAGUUUUGUUUCUUUAAUGACAUUUUGAGUAAGUCUGCAUGUCUGAGAUUUUUACAGUACAGCUGCUCCUGCUGUAACCAUGAGCUGCUGUUACUGCUGUAGUGUGACCAUUUAGUUAAGUCUUGCAGUUGAUUUGCUAAGUAAUAAUUAAGAAAAAUGAGCUUGU
Long non-coding RNA from Brienomyrus brachyistius, 2802 nucleotides. RefSeq lists it as uncharacterized. The transcript is spliced from 8 exons. NCBI's taxonomy places the organism in Eukaryota, Metazoa, Chordata, Actinopteri, Osteoglossiformes, Mormyridae. The record is from RefSeq and is a predicted model, not a curated record.